GUAAUAGCUCACUAGUCGAGAGGUCCUGCGCCGAAAAUGUCCGGGGCUGAAACACACUGCCGAAGCUUUGGAAUUGAUUUAAUUCAAUUGGUAGAGGAGCAUUCUUAAAGGGAGGAAGCAGUACCGGAAGGAGCUGUGGACUUUUAAGAAGAGAGAAUGCCGGAAUGAGUAGCGAGAGGAAGGUGGGAAUCCUUCCGGCCGAAUAUCUAAGGUUUCCAGAGUAAAGCUGAUCUGCUCUGGGUAAGUCGGGGCCUAAGGCGAGGUCGAAAGACGUAGUCGAUGGAUAACAGGUUGAAAUUCCUGUACUAUCCUGUAACAGAACUGUGGGGACACAGGCAGAGAGCGUGAGCCGGGAAUGGAAAGACCGGUACAAGCGAGGUAGGAGUUCAGUUGGCAAAUCCGCUGAACAAUCUGAAGACGUGAUGUGGACCGAAAAGAAGUAGGGAAGCACGUGAGCUGACUGUCAAGAAAAGCCGCUAUUGUUUGCAGGAUACCCGUACCGUAAACCGACACAGGUGGAUGAGGAGAGAAUCCUAAGGCCGACGGGAGAAGCAUUGUUAAGGAACUCGGCAAAAUGACUCCGUAACUUCGGGAGAAGGAGUGCCAGUAAGAUGGCCGCAGAGAAUUGGCCCAAGCAACUGUUUAGCAAAAACACAGGUCUAUGCAAAACCGAAAGGUGAGGUAUAUGGGCUGACGCCUGCCCGGUGCUGGAAGGUUAAGGGGAGAGGUUAGCGCAAGCGAAGCUUUGAACUUAAGCCCCAGUAAACGGCGGCCGUAACUAUAACGGUCCUAAGGUAGCGAAAUUCCUUGUCGGGUAAGUUCCGACCCGCACGAAAGGCGUAAUGAUUUGGGCACUGUCUCAACAAUGCACCCGGUGAAAUUGAAAUACCAGUGAAGAUGCUGGUUACCUGCGCCAGGACGGAAAGACCCCAUGGAGCUUUACUCCAGCUUGAUACUGGGAUUCGGUAUUGUAUGUACAGGAUAGGUGGGAGGCUUAGAAGUGGUUACGCCAGUAGCCAUGGAGCCGCUGUUGGGAUACCACCCUUGCAGUACUGGGUUUCUAACCAGCAGCCGUGACCCGGCUGGGGGACAAUGUCAGGUGGGGAGUUUGACUGGGGCGGUCGCCUCCGAAAGGGUAUCGGAGGCGCUCAAAGGUUCCCUCAGAAUGGUUGGAAACCAUUCGAAGAGUGCAAAGGCAGAAGGGAGCUUGACUGCGACACCGACGG
Molecule: ribosomal RNA, 1226 nt
Filed under: human gut metagenome
Description: bacterial LSU rRNA
Rfam family: Bacterial large subunit ribosomal RNA
Source: RNAcentral